RNAcentral lists this ribosomal RNA (1330 nucleotides) under Rhagoletis batava. RNAcentral describes it as "16S ribosomal RNA". Lineage: Eukaryota; Metazoa; Arthropoda; Insecta; Diptera; Tephritidae. The record is from RNAcentral.
UUAAUAUUUAUUUAUUAAUUUUUUUUUUUUUAUUUAUAAUUUAUUAAAAAUAAUUAUAUGAUUUAAUGUUUUAGUAAUUUUUAAUGAAAAAAUAAUAUUAAUGAUAGUUUAUUAAGUAUUGUAAAAGAUAAUUGAAAUAAUUUGAAAAAUUUUUAUUUAAAAAGAAAAUUUUAUUUAUUGUACCUUGUGUAUCAGGGUUUAUCUAAUAAUUAAUAAUUAUUUUUAUUAAUCUCGAUUUUAUAAGAGUUAAUUAUUUAUUAAAGUUAAUGUGUCAAAAUUAUUUUAAAUAAGUAAUUAGAAAUGAAAUGUUAUUCGUUUAUAAAGGUAUCUAGUUUUUUUAGAAAUAAAUUUAAUUUACAAAUUUUUAAUUUUUUAUUUAUUUAUUUAAUAAAAAAAAUUAUUUAUUUGAAUAUUUUAAGGGAUAAGCUUUAAAAUAAAUUAUUAAAAAUUAGUAAUUUAAUUGAAAAAUGUAUGAAUAGAAUUUUCAAUCGUUUAUAAGUUUGUUAUAAAUUAUUUUAUAAUUUAUAUUAUUUAUUAUUAUUUUAAGUUUUUAUAAAAAUUUUUUCAUAAAUUUUUUAUGAAAAUUAAUAAUGAUAAAAUUAGUAUAUUUAUAUUGUAUAUAUAAUUUUAUAUGAUAAGUUUAUGUAAAGAACUCGGCAAAUUUAUAUUCUCGCCUGUUUAACAAAAACAUGUCUUUUUGAGUUAUUUUUAAAGUCUGACCUGCCCACUGAAUAAUUUUAAAUGGCCGCAGUAUUUUAACUGUGCAAAGGUAGCAUAAUCAUUAGUCUUUUAAUUGAAGGCUGGUAUGAAUGGUUGGACGAAGAAUAAACUGUUUCAUAUAAAUUUAUUAUAGAAUUUUAUAUUUUAGUAAAAAAGCUAAAGUAUAAUUAAAAGACGAGAAGACCCUAUAAAUCUUUAUAUUUAUUAUUAUUUUAAUUUUUUAGAUAUAUUUUAUUUUAAUAAUAUAAAAUAUUUUGUUGGGGUGAUGUUAAAAUUUAAUGAACUUUUAAUUAUUGAAAAUCAUUAAUUUAUGAUUUAUUGAUCCGUUAAUAACGAUUAUAAGAUUAAGUUACUUUAGGGAUAACAGCGUAAUUUUUUUGGAGAGUUCUUAUCGAUAAAAAAGUUUGCGACCUCGAUGUUGGAUUAAGAUAUAUCUUUAGGUGUAGCCGCUUAAAUAUUUAAGUCUGUUCGACUUUUAAAUUCUUACAUGAUCUGAGUUCAGACCGGCGUAAGCCAGGUUGGUUUCUAUCUUUAAUUUAUUGUAAUAUUUUAGUACGAAAGGACCAGAUAUUAAAAUAAUUAUAUUUUAAUUAAAGAAUAUUAUUAAUUA